RNAcentral lists this ribosomal RNA (464 nucleotides) under uncultured Geobacteraceae bacterium. RNAcentral describes it as "partial 16S ribosomal RNA". It matches the Rfam family "Bacterial small subunit ribosomal RNA", at positions 338 to 794 of the family's 1533-position model. Lineage: Bacteria; Pseudomonadati; Thermodesulfobacteriota; Desulfuromonadia; Geobacterales; Geobacteraceae. The record is from RNAcentral.
CCUACGGGAGGCAGCAGUGGGGAAUUUUGCGCAAUGGGGGCAACCCUGACGCAGCAACGCCGCGUGAGUGAUGAAGGCCUUCGGGUCGUAAAGCUCUGUCAGAGGGGAGGAAAUGCAGGUGGUGAACAACCAUUCUGUUUGACGGUACCCUCAAAGGAAGCACCGGCUAACUCCGUGCCAGCAGCCGCGGUAAUACGGAGGGUGCGAGCGUUGUUCGGAAUUAUUGGGCGUAAAGCGCGUGUAGGCGGUUUGUUAAGUAUGAGGUAAAAGCCCCGGGCUCAACCGGGGAAGUGCAUUGGAUACUGGCAGACUGGAGUACGGGAGAGGAGAGUGGAAUUCCCAGUGUAGGAGUGAAAUCCGUAGAUAUUGGGAGGAACACCGGUGCCGAGGGCGGCUCUCUGGACAGAAACUGACGCGGAGACGCGAAAGCGUGGGGAGCAAACAGGAUUAGAUACCCUAGUAGU